This 135-nucleotide non-coding RNA is filed under the name Kocuria marina. RNAcentral's name for it is "Glycine sequence". It matches the Rfam family "Glycine riboswitch aptamer". Rfam says of the family: This family represents the bacterial glycine riboswitch. The record is from RNAcentral. Lineage: Bacteria; Bacillati; Actinomycetota; Actinomycetes; Micrococcales; Micrococcaceae.
CACCGUGCGGCGGGAGAGCAUGGCGGAUCCCCGUGAUCCGGGUCCUCGUGACCAGGAAAAGCAGGGCAUCGCGCCAUCGCCGAAGGAGCAAACCCUCCCCGGGAAUCUCUCAGGCACCCGUACCGCCGCACCGGG